RNAcentral lists this ribosomal RNA (456 nucleotides) under uncultured bacterium. RNAcentral describes it as "partial 16S ribosomal RNA". It matches the Rfam family "Bacterial small subunit ribosomal RNA", at positions 29 to 507 of the family's 1533-position model. The record is from RNAcentral.
AACAAACGCUGGCGGCGUGCCUAAUACAUGCAAGUCGAACGAGGUAGCAAUACCUAGUGGCGCACGGGUGAGUAACGCGUGGAUAAUCUGCCCUUCAGUGGGGAAUAACUCUCCGAAAGGAGAGCUAAUACCGCAUAAGACCACAGUGACUUUGGUCACAGAGGUUAAAGGAGCAAUUCGCUGAAGGAUGAGUCCGCGUCAGAUUAUGGUAGUUGGUGGGGUAACGGCCUACCAAGCCUUCGAUCUGUAGCUGGUCUGAGAGGAUGAUCAGCCACACUGGAACUGAGACACGGUCCAGACUCCUACGGGAGGCAGCAGUAGGGAAUAUUGGUCAAUGGGCGAAAGCCUGAAUCAGCAACGCCGCGUGAGCGACGAAGGCCUUAGGGUUGUAAAGCUCUGUUGCAAGGGAAGAAAAAAAUGACGGUGCUUUGCGAGAAAGGACCGGCCAACUUCGUG